GUGCUCGCUUCAGCAGCACAUAUACUAAAAUUUUGGAACAAUACAGAGAAGAUUAGCAUGGCCCCUGCACAAGGAUGAUAUGCAAAUUUGUAAAGCAUUCCAUAUUUUU
Molecule: small nuclear RNA, 109 nt
Organism: Callithrix jacchus (white-tufted-ear marmoset)
Lineage: Eukaryota; Metazoa; Chordata; Mammalia; Primates; Cebidae
Source: Ensembl